This is a non-coding RNA of Podarcis lilfordi (Lilford's wall lizard), 67 nucleotides long. The record is from the annotation of a GenBank genome assembly. NCBI's taxonomy places the organism in Eukaryota, Metazoa, Chordata, Lepidosauria, Squamata, Lacertidae.
GAUAGCUCAGUGGUAGAGCAUUUGCCUUGCAUGCAGAAGGUUCCUGGUUCAAUCCCUGACAUCUCCA